This is a long non-coding RNA of Rhopalosiphum maidis (corn leaf aphid), 467 nucleotides long. RefSeq lists it as uncharacterized. The transcript has 3 exons. The record is from RefSeq and is a predicted model, not a curated record. NCBI's taxonomy places the organism in Eukaryota, Metazoa, Arthropoda, Insecta, Hemiptera, Aphididae.
UCAUGAUUUUUAUUUAAAAAUUCCAUUAAGCCUUUAUUGUUACGGUAUCAGUUCGGUAUUGUGGUAAUAAUUUGUGUACAGAACUGAACGUUUCGGGGAAUGGAAAUACUCGUGGUGUAUUUUUUAUUGCAAUAAGUUGAAGACGGAGCAAGAUAGAUAUCAUAAGUGUCCUUGAAAAUCUCAUAUUUGCAAAACCCGCAAUAGGAUUUCUACUCCACUCGCUGAAAUAAGAUCACAAUCAAAGUUAAUAUGGAACAACCUUAACAUUGAGGUUCUCGACUUGCAGCAACUCUUGGUCAAAUUUAGAAACGUACACAUUUAGUUCUUAUAAUUUCGGCACUCACCGUGGCCGUUCCUGGUUUUACGGUGGCGCAUGGGAGAAUUGCGGUGCCGCCGAUCUGUGACGUGACAACGGUGCCGUUUUCGGUGACGAACAUGUUGUCCGGAUUUCCGAGCUCGUUAAUCAG